UUUGGACCCGGCGGAUCUGGACCGGAUCUGGACCACUCUCUAAAAAACCGGAUCCGGAUCUGGAGUAGAAGGUAUAAAACCCAGAUCCGGUCCAGAUCCGGUCCAGAUCCGGAUCUGGACCCGGUAAUAUUAUAGAUAUAAUAUUUUUAUUUUUUUAAUUUUAUCCAACCCUAAACAUAUCUAACUUUUACAAUUCAAUUUCAAAAUCAAAACCCUACUUCAUCUAAUCAUCUCACGGUCUCACCUCACCUGUGCCGCUCACCUAUCCUCCACGCCACCCGCGCCGCGCCGCUCGCCUAUCCUUCGGCCGGCGGCCGUGCACCUCCGAAUCAGCCCCUCCGGCCUUCCCCACCUGAGAGCAGCAGCGUGAGCAGAGCAGCGUGAGCAGCAGGCAACGCCAAUCCAUCUACGGCCGCUCCAUCUCCGUCCACCUUCGUCCACCUCCGGUCUCGGUCUCCGGUCUUCAGCCUUUCCCGAAAUCUGUGGACUUGAGCGGAGGCUCUGCUGCAGAGCAGGUUCUCGGCGUGAGCAGAGCAGCGCAAGGCAACGCCAAUCCAUCUCCGACCGCUGCUCGUCCUCUCCGACCGCUCCUCUCCGGCCGCUGCUCAUCCUCUCAUCAGGAUGUUGAUGAUGUCGAAAGUAGCUGCAAUAUGGAAGACAUCUUUGAGGAUUACAGAAAUUGAUCGUUUCAAUAUUAGGAUUAUUAUGUUCUCAUUUUGGAUUGUUUGGUUUUAAAUGAAUUAUGAUGUUCUUAUUUAUUUUGGAUUGUUUAGUUUUAAAUGGAUUAUGGUGUAUUUUGUAUUCUUGAAUGAUUGUUGAAACUUUAGACAAUUGUUAUGAUUUUUAUUUUAAUGUUUAA
Molecule: long non-coding RNA, 859 nt
Organism: Salvia miltiorrhiza (redroot sage)
Lineage: Eukaryota; Viridiplantae; Streptophyta; Magnoliopsida; Lamiales; Lamiaceae
Exons: 2
Source: RefSeq, a predicted model, not a curated record